UACGUAGGGAGCAAGCGUUGUCCGGAAUCAUUGGGCGUAAAGCGCGCGUAGGGGGCUUCGUAAGUCCGUUGUGAAAGUCAAAGGCUCAACCUUUGAAAGCCGAUGGAUACUGCGGAGCUAGAGUACGGAAGAGGCGAGUGGAAUUCCUGGUGUAGCGGUGGAAUGCGCAGAUAUCAGGAGGAACACCAAUAGCGAAGGCAGCUCGCUGGGACGUUACUGACACUGAGGCGCGAAAGCGUGGGGAGCGAACAGG
RNAcentral lists this ribosomal RNA (253 nucleotides) under uncultured bacterium. Its description in RNAcentral is "partial 16S ribosomal RNA". It matches the Rfam family "Bacterial small subunit ribosomal RNA", at positions 524 to 776 of the family's 1533-position model. The record is from RNAcentral.